RNAcentral lists this long non-coding RNA (4754 nucleotides) under Homo sapiens (human). Its description in RNAcentral is "HSALNT0115123". The record is from RNAcentral. Lineage: Eukaryota; Metazoa; Chordata; Mammalia; Primates; Hominidae.
GGAAAACACACAUGCCACAGGGAAGCCCAUCUUUCUUGCCUGACGACGGGGCCUCAGGAGAUGAGUCUGUCCCGGCCUCUUGUUGGGACAGUCACUGGGGUUCUGCUGCAGUCCGGACUGGCUCAGAGAAAGCGGCCCAGGUCCCACUCCCUGCCUCCCCGACAGCUGUCCUGAGUUGAACCCCAGGCCUCACAGGGUGCUGAAUCCAACUGGUCUCCGAGAAGGACAAAAGACUGUGGGACUUUGGGGACAACAAUGAGGGAAAGAAGACUGACUCAGAGCUGCUCAUGUAUUUGCACCCACAGAUAUGUGUAUGUUGAACCCUACCGGGGAGAGAGAGACAGAGAGGGACUGAGGGGGGAAAGGAACAGUAAGGCUAUCUGUGACCACCGGAUCUGCAUGGAAGCUCCACAGGCCCCAAGGCCAGGCCUGAGAACGUGCUACACAUGACCCUUCGCUUGCCUUCUCUGCUGUCAACAGACAGGUCCCAGCCUUUUGGUCACACCAGCAAGAAUUUUCACUUCUUAUCUACCAAGAUAGUUUCCUUCCCAAUAUAAAUCUGGCCCCAACACUCACUCCAUUAAGUGAGGCCCAUAUAUGGCUCUGAAACUAUGACUUCAUUUUUUCCCUCUCUUCUCCCCAGAUCCUUUCACAGAAACAACAGGUAAAGACAGUCUACCUUAGUUUUUUUGGAGUUGUCAAGUGCACCCCUGUUUUCAAAUGGCCACACGGUGCAGGGAAGAUCUGUGCUGCUUCCACUGACAACAGAGACUGGCUGAAUUGUGCCCAGAGAGCCGUUCACUGUCUACAACAUCCACCACAGAGCUACACAGCAAGACAUCUCUCAGGAACCAGGGCCAGGCUGAGCCGUGGAUAUUAGGAUUUCUGGUAUGGGGAAGGCAGCAAACAGGACGUGGAGUUAGGACACAGGCAGCCAGAAGGGUCUCCCACACGAUGAACAGGAUUGUCCUGUUUGAAGCCACUCCUUCAGGCCCUCUGCAAACCCAGACACCUGCAGCCACGGCAGGACACUGCCCUUACCUGGGCCUCACUCAUUAUAACAGCUUAAAGGAAAAAAAUCUCACUUCUGUGAUCCAAAAGGGAUUUGUUUGAAUGUGGACUAUUUGAGGAUGAUAAUAAAACUCUUCUGGACCAGGGACGCCAAUCCACAAAUCCACCAAAAUAGCAGUAGAAAGACACAGAUCAUGAAUUAGACUAACAGCAGUUCCUUCAAAUAAGCUAAGGAAGGUCUCACCUUUAUUGAACCCUGAACUUAUCUGGUAUUUCAAGUAAGACAGCAACAAGAUGUUCCUUCUCUGUCCUCUCUUUGACGCUGAGACAUACAAUGAAGGGGAAAGUUCAGCCUAAUCCUAAAGGCAUUGACUGGAAGCAGGAAACAAGACAAGAGGUAGUUGCCAAGGAAGCCAGACACAGAUUGUACCACGGGCACCCCGCCUCCAACUCGAUUGUUAGAAGCAAUUCCCAGCUUGGUAACUCAUGGAAGCCACGGGCACUCCCGUUGAGAAGAUGGGAAUCCUUCCAGGGCUGGCCUGCCCAGAUAGCCAGUAGGGCUGGCUCCAAGCGCUGCCUAGGUUCUACUGCAAUGCCCCACACUCCCUCACCCCGGGGUGCCCACUAGAGCCCUCCUGUUCACCCCAAUUAUAAGAACACUCUCUCUCCAACAGACAGGUAAUUAAUCAAGGGAUAACCCCCAAGAAAGGGAAAAUAACACAAGAUCACAUCAGCUCACUGUUCUAAGUAUCCCCAGUGGAAUUCUGAAUUCCCCUUUAGUAGAGUCACUUAUGACAGGUGUGGCCGGUUUAGAGAUCCUGUUACCAGGGAGAGAAGUACAAGAUAUUCAGGGCCUGCUGAAGAAGACUGGCCAAGCAAACAGUGUUAUAAAACACCACGGGUAGAUUGCGCUUGUGGUUCAAACUGCAUUUUCCCAAACAGGCCAGAUUGGGAUAUGACAUCUAGGUUUUAUUUUAACUGGUUCUGCUGAGAAAACACCAGCCUCAUACCUAGCACAGUCAAGAGCCAUGGGUUAUGUUAUCCAAUAACACUGGGUUAGAUACUGUCAAAUGAUUAAGCCUUUGACUAGGGAAAUCAUACAAAGCAACAGUUCUGGUAAUUACCCACCGUCUGUACCUGGGCACCACCAGGGAGAUGUCAAAGUAACUUCCUUGCAUUUGGAAAUGCCCUCACCAGCCCCAUGCUCAAGAGUUCACUUUUAUUGUUGAAGUAAUAUUUUACAAAGGAAAUUACUAACUAGUCAUAAAGAGCAGAGAGUUAAAUAUUUAUAAGGACUCACAAUAUUAACAGAUUCACUUUCCCAAAAACAUAUUCAACAUAUCAGAGCUCUGCAUCCUUAGUAAAUGACCACUGUGAUUUUACACAGAAAAAGAGGGAAGCACUGGGUCCAUGUGUGACCUCUGCUAAGAGAUCCCACUGAAGCAGAUCCAAGAGACCCAGCUCAGAGUGGGGGCCCCUUCCAACUCCACCACCUUCUCCACGGCUCUCAGCAAGUUACUGGACUUCUUCCUGCCUGGUUCCAUCGCUACAAUGGGACCAGAAAUAGCAUCCACCUCACAGGUUUAUUAAGAGGAUGAAAGGAGUUAACAUGGGCAAGCCUUAGAACAGCCCAGCACAUAAUAAGCACUAUGUGAGCUACUACUGUUAUUGUUGUUUCUGGUUUUAUUAUUUGGUCAACACGGAUUAAAUGUCAUAGUGGUAUCAUAAACAAUGUUCAAGCCAAUUGAUCAUAUGUUUCAAAUAUGAGAGCAAAAAAGAAACAUCCUCUUCACUACUUUUUUUUUUUUUUUUGAGACAGAAUCUCCCUCGGUCGCCCAGGCUGCAGUGCAGUGGCAUGAUCUCAGCUCACCGCAACCUCCGCCUCCCGGGUUCAAGCAAUUCUCCUGUCUCAGCUUCCUGAGUAGCUGGGAUUACAGGCGUGCGACACCAUGACCAGCUAAUUUUUUGUGUAUUUUCAGUAGAGAUGGCGUUUCACCGUAUUGGCCAGGCUGGUCUCGAACUCCUGACCUUGUGAUCCGUCCACCUCCACCUCCCAAAGUGCUGGGAUUACAGGCGUGAGCCACUGCGCCCAGCUUUCACUACUUAUUAUUAAAUGAUAUUCCAGGAAAUUAUAUUUAUUUAAAACACACCGUUGAACACUGAAUAUCUGCCAGGCCUUCCAGAGGACAGAAUAUAUUAUAAGCCAAUGUUCCUACCCUCUAGGAGCUUACAGUCGAAUUGAGAAGAUAAAAAUGCACACACGGCCAGGCGUGGUGGCUCACGCCUGUAAUCCCAGCACUUUGGGAGGCCAAGGUGGGCGGAUCACAAGGUCAGGAGAUCGAGACCAUCCUGGCUAACACGGUGAAACCCCAUCUCUACUAAAAAUACAGAUUACCUGGGAGUGGUGGGGGGCACCGGUAGUCCCAGCUACUCAGGAGGCUGAGGCAGGAGAAUGGUGUGAACCCAGGAGGCAGAGCUUGCAGUGAGCCGAGAUCGCACCACUGCACUCCAGCCUGGGCGACAGAGGGAGACUCAUAGCAUUUCUUUGUAAUUGAUUUAUAAAUACCAAGAAGUAUGGGUAAGUUAGUAAGUGUUCUCACAAUUUAGAAAAUGGUAAGUAUGUGAGGUGAUGAAUAUGCUAAUUAGCUUGAUUUAAUCAUUUCACAACGUAUGCACCUAUCAAAGCAUCAUGUCUGUACACUGCAAGUAUAUAUAAUUAUUAUUUUUCAAUAAUACCUUAACAAAUCUCGGGGGUGGGGGGGAGGGAGAGGUGCCAAAUAAGCAAAUUGAUUUCAGCCUAAAACAAAAGACCUCAUGGAGACGGGGUUCAAGUUGGGCUUUGAAGGAUGGGCAGGACUAAGACAGAGGAAGCUUUGAGGAUGGGGGAUCCUGGGAAUGGCGUGAGCAGAACUCACGAGGCUAUCCUGAAGUUGAGAUGAGAGAUUGGGGUGCUUAGGAGCCUCAGGUCUGCAGUCUUGGGCUCCCAUGUCCUGGCUGAGUGACCAUGGGCCAGUUCCAUAAGCCUCUGCGGGCCUCCAUUCCUAGCGCUGGCUGGCAUCGGCAUUAUUCUGAAGACUGAACAAGAUAAAGCACGUUAGGAAAACACAGUGAGAACCAGGCAUCCUCAGGUAUUAAACAGAGUUAAAGAGACUCAUCUGUCUGCCAAGAGACCCACCUGUCUGCAGAAGAAGGCUGAAAUUGGAAAGUAGUGCAAGACCAAGUUGGAAAGUUACAAAGGAGGGCUGUAGUGAGCUCAGACUUCAUUCAGGGAGAGAUCUGAGCCCCCUGAGAAGAGUCAUUUUUACAGUGGCCUCUCCGAGCAGCAUGUAUACAGCAAGGUGGGAGAAUCUGGGGAAGGGAGUCCAGGAGAGGGUGCCAAAGGCUCCACAUGAGUGGAAAAGGCUGGGCCCGGGCACUCACCAUAGGGAUGGAAAAAAAAAAGGGUAAGGAUAAGAGACCAGAUUAGGUGGUGCCAAGUGUGGGAGAAAAUGAGAGGAGCUGAAAACCAACUCCACUCAUGCAAUGUGGUUUCCUAGAAGACAUGCUAGAAGAGACAGGGCAUUCGUGGAAAAAAUGGGGAGAUCUCAAUAAAGAUUGUCAUUAGCUACCUUGUACCAUUGCUGAUUUCUUAGUGUCGAGAAAUGCACAGGAAAAUGUCAACAUUGGAGGAAGCUGGGUGAAGGGUACAUGGGGAAAACUCUGUGCUUUCUUUGCAAAUCUGUAAAUUAAAAUUAUUUCAAAAC